UUCUUGUGAUCGGAUCUCUCAUGUUUGGUACCGUGUUUCUAGGCGGUUAGGGACCGAGUUUGUGUCCCCCAAUAGUAUUAUGCAAGUUUUUGAGAGUUUAUUUGACUUAGGUGUGGGGUGUCAGGCUCAGUUAUGUUUGAUUCUAGUGUGCAUGAUGUUGUGUGGACUAUUUUGACCUCUUUGAUGUUUUUGUUUCGUAUAUUUUUUCUUAUUUGUUGUUAAGUACUUCUGAUACUUAUGAUAUGUACUCUGAUUAUAAUUAUUAUGGAUUUAAUUUAAAUACACCGACGGUGUAAAAUAAUUUUACACCGUCAAUCAAUACCAACCAUGUUUUCCGCCACAUCACCCCACUUCACCCCACUUUCUUGAUAUGACAUGACAAAAUGGUGGUUGUUUAUUGGACGAUCGUGUAAAACUAUUUUACACCGUC
Molecule: long non-coding RNA, 430 nt
Filed under: Trifolium pratense (red clover)
Lineage: Eukaryota; Viridiplantae; Streptophyta; Magnoliopsida; Fabales; Fabaceae
Description: long non-coding RNA (TPRA_LNC000138)
Source: RNAcentral